RNAcentral lists this unclassified non-coding RNA (287 nucleotides) under Hevea brasiliensis (rubber tree). Lineage: Eukaryota; Viridiplantae; Streptophyta; Magnoliopsida; Malpighiales; Euphorbiaceae. The record is from RNAcentral.
AACUGUGUGAUGUUGGCAAUACAAAUGAUUUUAGUUAUUUUAAUAAAUGUGUUGUGAAAACAAAUGUUUUGUGAAUGACAAUUAUUGAUGUUUGGGAAUAUUACUACUGUUUUCAUAUUUCAUGGAAAUUUGAACAUAUUCAAUACUUUAUCAUGAUUUGAUAAACUAUGUUUUGUGAUGAUUUUAUAAAUUGAUAGUUGUGCACCACUAAGGUUAUAUACUGCGAUAGCUUUUUCUUAUGCUAUCGCAGGUAAAGGAAAAGAAAAGACUGCAGAGUGAGAGUAAUA